RNAcentral lists this small RNA (61 nucleotides) under Lactobacillus acidophilus. Its description in RNAcentral is "crRNA_18". The record is from RNAcentral. Lineage: Bacteria; Bacillati; Bacillota; Bacilli; Lactobacillales; Lactobacillaceae.
UGAUCCUAUAUACAUAGUUGUUUGUUUCAAAAAUUGCCGAUUUUCUCCACGUAUGUGGAGG